Molecule: unclassified non-coding RNA, 358 nt
Filed under: Hevea brasiliensis (rubber tree)
Lineage: Eukaryota; Viridiplantae; Streptophyta; Magnoliopsida; Malpighiales; Euphorbiaceae
Source: RNAcentral
GGAGUCUUGGAGCUGCUAUCAUCUACAACGACGAGCAUGCAUGGAAUGACCACUGGAUCUUCUGGGUUGGACCAAUGAUUGGAGCUGCUCUUGCUGCUAUUUACCACCAAAUAAUUAUCAGAGCUAUGCCAUUCCACAGGUCUUAAGUUAUCUGUCUUUAAACAAUGGGAUUCUCAAAGACUCAACAGUGUACUUUUGUCUUCUUUUUUUGGGGGGUUGAAUGUUCAAGUUUCUCCUUCAAUGUAUUUGUAAUGUGGAUCUGUUCCUUCUGUUAAGAUGUUCUAUUAUGUGUGUAAAUUAUCAGGUUAUGAUAAUGUAAUGUACCUUAUCAAUGAAGGUUCUUUAUUUUUAUCUUUGA